GUAAAACUCAGCAAUGAUAUUGAUAAAUACAAGAGAAGGUAGGCUGAAAUUACUGUAGGUGAGAUUGGAUCAAAACAAAAGAUAGCGUAGAAUAGUGAAAAAAUGACAGAUCAGCAGCACAGUUAUGCUUCACGAUCACAGCUCUGCUACAGCGCCACAUAUACAACCAUUGCCUCCAGUCACAGCACUUCUGACUUCCAAUGAUGAUGGCUCUACUCUUUUCCUCUUCCCCUGCACUGACUCCUGCUUAAUCUUUUUUUGUUGUUGUUUGUUUCUAGGUUGGUUUGUUUGUUUAUUUUUUCUAGUUACUAAGCAUCUAAUUUGAAUCAACUGUGGGAAAAGAAAGCAUUGAAGGUGCUGUGACACCUGGAAAUUGUCUGAAUGAAAACAAUUCUGAUACUUGUGUAGCAUUUGGUGUCUAUUGUAAAUCUGGCAAACCUGCCUAAAGAAAUGUGUACAGAACAGACGGAAUCUUUAACUUAUCUGCAGUGGCUCCACUGGCUAAACUUGCACUCUCUGCUAAUGGUCUGCCCUAACCAGAAAUAUGCUGAUGUCCAGCCACAUCUCUAAGACAAG
This 576-nucleotide long non-coding RNA is filed under the name Gallus gallus (chicken). Lineage: Eukaryota; Metazoa; Chordata; Aves; Galliformes; Phasianidae. The record is from RNAcentral.